This 492-nucleotide ribosomal RNA is filed under the name uncultured bacterium. RNAcentral's name for it is "partial 16S ribosomal RNA". It matches the Rfam family "Bacterial small subunit ribosomal RNA", at positions 29 to 507 of the family's 1533-position model. The record is from RNAcentral.
AGUGAACGCUGGCGGUAGGCCUAACACAUGCAAGUCGAACGGCAGCACAGUAAGAGCUUGCUCUUACGGGUGGCGAGUGGCGGACGGGUGAGGAAUACAUCGGAAUCUACUUUUUCGUGGGGGAUAACGUAGGGAAACUUACGCUAAUACCGCAUACGACCUACGGGUGAAAGCAGGGGAUCUUCGGACCUUGCGCGAUUGAAUGAGCCGAUGUCGGAUUAGCUAGUUGGGGGGGUAAAGGCCCACGAAGGCGACGAUCCGUAGCUGGUCUGAGAGGUGGGUCAGCCACACGGGAACUUAAACACGGACCAGACUCCUGCGAGAGGCAGCAGUGGGGAAUAUUGGACAAUGGGCGCGAGCAUGGUCCAGCCAUACCGCGUGGGUGAAGAAGGCCUUCGGGUUGUAAAGCCCUUUUGUUGGGAAAGAAAAGCAGCAGGUUAAUACCCCGCUGUUCUGACGGUACCCAAAGAAUAAGCACCGGCUAACUUCGUG